AACGAACGCUGGCGGCAUGCCUAACACAUGCAAGUCGAACGAGACCUUCGGGUCUAGUGGCGCACGGGUGCGUAACGCGUGGGAACCUGCCCUUAGGUUCGGAAUACCUCCCCGAAAGGGGUGCUAAUACCGGUUAAUGUCUUCGGACCAAAGAUUUAUCGCUUUUGGAUGGGCCCGCGUUGGAUUAGCUAGUUGGUAGGGUAAUAGCCUACCAAGGCGACGAUCCAUAGCUGGUCUGAGAGGAUGAUCAGCCACACUGGGACUGAGACACGGCCCAGACUCCUACGGGAGGCAGCAGUGGGGAAUAUUGGACAAUGGGCGAAAGCCUGAUCCAGCAAUGCCGCGUGAGUGAUGAAGGCCUUAGGGUUGUAAAGCUCUUUUACCCGGGAUGAUAAUGACAGUACCGGGAGAAUAAGCUCCGGCUAACUACGUG
RNAcentral lists this ribosomal RNA (433 nucleotides) under uncultured bacterium. RNAcentral describes it as "partial 16S ribosomal RNA". It matches the Rfam family "Bacterial small subunit ribosomal RNA", at positions 29 to 507 of the family's 1533-position model. The record is from RNAcentral.